RNAcentral lists this ribosomal RNA (434 nucleotides) under uncultured bacterium. Its description in RNAcentral is "partial 16S ribosomal RNA". It matches the Rfam family "Bacterial small subunit ribosomal RNA", at positions 341 to 792 of the family's 1533-position model. The record is from RNAcentral.
ACGGAAGGCAGCAGUGGGGGAUAUUGCACAAUGGGGGAAACCCUGAUGCAGCGACGCCGCGUGAGUGAUGAAGUAUUUCGGUAUGUAAAGCUCUAUCAGCAGGGAAGAAAAUGACGGUACCUGACUAAGAGGCUCCGGCUAAAUACGUGCCAGCAGCCGCGGUAAUACGUAUGGAGCAAGCGUUAUCCGGAUUUACUGGGUGUAAAGGGAGCGUAGACGGCGUGGCAAGUCUGAUGUGAAAGCUAUGGGCUCAACCCAUAAACUGCAUUGGAAACUGUCAUGCUAGAGUGUCGGAGAGGUAAGCGGAAUUCCUAGUGUAGCGGUGAAAUGCGUAGAUAUUAGGAGGAACACCAGUGGCGAAGGCGGCUUACUGGACGAUAACUGACGUUGAGGCUCGAAAGCGUGGGGAGCAAACAGGAUUAGAUACCCUGGUA